This is a microRNA precursor of Cavia porcellus (domestic guinea pig), 102 nucleotides long. Ensembl annotates it as microRNA 199a-1. Its record names the gene MIR199A1. The record is from Ensembl. Lineage: Eukaryota; Metazoa; Chordata; Mammalia; Rodentia; Caviidae.
CCGGACACCGGCCCCGCCGGCCCAGUGUUCAGACUACCUGUUCAGGCGCCUCUGCAUGUGUACAGUAGUCUGCACAUUGGUUAGGCUGGGCUCGGGCGUGCA